UACGUAGGGACCAAGCGUUGUUCGGAUUUACUGGGCGUAAGGGGCGCGUAGGCGGCGCGGUAAGUCACUUGUGAAAUCUCUGAGCUUAACUCAGAACGGCCAAGUGAUACUGCAGUGCUAGAGUGUGGAAGGGGCAAUCGGAAUUCUUGGUGUAGCGGUGAAAUGCGCAGAUAUCAGGAGGAACACCGAUGGCGAAGGCAGAUCUCUGGGCCGUAACUGACGCUGAGGAGCGAAAGCAUGGGGAGCGAACAGG
Molecule: ribosomal RNA, 253 nt
Filed under: uncultured bacterium
Lineage: Bacteria
Description: partial 16S ribosomal RNA
Rfam family: Bacterial small subunit ribosomal RNA
Source: RNAcentral